GACGUUGAUAGGUCGGGUGUGUAAGUGUAGCGAUACAUUGAGCUAACCGAUACUAAUGAACCGUGAGGCUUAACCUUACAACGCCGAAGGUGUUU
Molecule: ribosomal RNA, 95 nt
Filed under: Citrobacter freundii
Lineage: Bacteria; Pseudomonadati; Pseudomonadota; Gammaproteobacteria; Enterobacterales; Enterobacteriaceae
Description: partial 23S ribosomal RNA
Rfam family: Bacterial large subunit ribosomal RNA (bases 1-77)
Source: RNAcentral